RNAcentral lists this transfer RNA (69 nucleotides) under Dipseudopsis sp. XG-2021. Its description in RNAcentral is "tRNA-Ile". Lineage: Eukaryota; Metazoa; Arthropoda; Insecta; Trichoptera; Dipseudopsidae. The record is from RNAcentral.
UAUAAAGUGCCUGAUAAAAGGAUUAUUCUGAUAGAAUAAACUAUGUAUAAAUAUCCUAUACCUUUAUUU